Molecule: ribosomal RNA, 468 nt
Filed under: uncultured bacterium
Lineage: Bacteria
Description: partial 16S ribosomal RNA
Rfam family: Bacterial small subunit ribosomal RNA
Source: RNAcentral
GACGAACGCUGGCGGCGUGCUUAACACAUGCAAGUCGAACGGAAAGGCCCUGCUUUUGUGGGGUGCUCGAGUGGCGAACGGGUGAGUAACACGUGAGUAACCUGCCCUUGACUUUGGGAUAACUUCAGGAAACUGGGGCUAAUACCGGAUAGGAGCUCCUGCUGCAUGGUGGGGGUUGGAAAGUUUCGGCGGUUGGGGAUGGACUCGCGGCUUAUCAGCUUGUUGGUGGGGUAGUGGCUUACCAAGGCUUUAACGGGUAGCCGGCCUGCGAGGGUGACCGGCCACAUUGGGACUGAGAUACGGCCCAGACUCCUACGGGAGGCAGCAGUGGGGAAUAUUGCACAAUGGGCGGAAGCCUGAUGCAGCAACGCCGCGUGCGGGAUGACGGCCUUCGGGUUGUAAACCGCUUUCGCCUGUGACGAAGCGUGAGUGACGGUAAUGGGUAAAGAAGCACCGGCUAACUACGUG